GGGUGGAUAGCUCAGUGGUAGAGCACAUGCCCAGUGUGGAUGAGGUUCUGGGUUCAAUCUCCAGUACCUCCA
Molecule: transfer RNA, 72 nt
Filed under: Camelus bactrianus (Bactrian camel)
Lineage: Eukaryota; Metazoa; Chordata; Mammalia; Artiodactyla; Camelidae
Also listed under: 1 other name
Rfam family: tRNA
About the family: Transfer RNA (tRNA) molecules are approximately 80 nucleotides in length.
Source: Rfam by way of RNAcentral